Molecule: unclassified non-coding RNA, 335 nt
Filed under: soil metagenome
Description: partial contains 5.8S ribosomal RNA, internal transcribed spacer 2, and large subunit ribosomal RNA
Rfam family: 5.8S ribosomal RNA (bases 1-120)
Source: RNAcentral
GAUGAAGAACGUAGCGAAAUGCGAUAAGUAAUGUGAAUUGCAGAAUUCAGUGAAUCAUCGAAUCUUUGAACGCACAUUGCGCCCAUUAGCAUUCUAGUGGGCAUGCCUGUUCGAGCGUCAUUUCAACCCUUAAGCCCUGUUGCUUAGCGUUGGGAGCCUACAGUACUGUAGCUCCCCAAAGUUAGUGGCGGAGUCGGUUUCACACUCUAGACGUAGUAAUUUUUUCUCGUCUGUAGUUGAGCCGGUCCCCUGCCGUAAAACACCCAAUUUAUCAAGGUUGACCUCGGAUCAGGUAGGAAUACCCGCUGAACUUAAGCAUAUCAAUAAGCGGAGGA